ACUUAGGAUUUCUAUACAUUGACACCCUCACUGGAACCCAUCCUUUGUUUUACUUGUCCCUUUGCAGGUUUGUAAGCCUCGGAGUGCCAUCCAGGAAACAUUCUCUUCAAAAGCUUCACAUUUAAAACAUUCCCACAUUAACACCUGCGUGCACACACACACACACACACACACACACAGAGAUGCCCUCUCUCUCCACACAGUCCCUUACAGAAGUAACAGAUGUUUGUAAAAAAAGAAAACACAGAAGUUUGCUGUCUUAUGAAAACAUCCCCUAAGAGAUAACUUGGUCUCUUGUCCUGCCUAUGAAAUUCUCUUCAGUCAUGGCCAGUCUGCGCCUCAUGCCACCACUCACUGAAAGGCUUCAAUAAGAAUAUUCAGGCCAGAAGAGGUCUUAGCCAUGACUCUGUGAUUCUAACUUUUCUCUAAAGUAUAGCACAGCUCUGGAUAAUGAAAUCAUCACUCAGAAUUCAAUAACUGUUUCAGCUUGCAACAGCAGUGUUAUUGCUACUGAUUUUUGGUUUUGUUUCCUCAGACUCUGAAUUAUGAUUCAGCACAACCACUACAUCACUCAGACAAACAAAAAGGUUGUAUGCAAGGGAUCACUGAAAAAGGACACUGGACUAUGUGGUGUAUCCUUUCAGGAAAUAUAUGGAACCACAAAGAAAAACACCUGCAACAUCCCAACUUUCUGGUAAAUCAGCUUCUGUAGCACUCUAAACCUAAAAUGAACAGCAGGAUUAAAAUAUUUCAGUAGUAAAAGGUAUUAAUUUCUAGUUAUCCACAUUACCAAUGUGCCACCAUAAGAUUGAUCUUUCUUGCUCAUUCAUCUUUACUUACAGCAUUUAAAGCAUCAAAACUGAUCCUUACAAAAAAUAAUAUUAAUUACUUAAUUUAUAAAAGAUUAUGGAUAAACUGCUGUUACACUGUCCUUGGUACCCACAGAGUCUUCCAGCCUUUGUGUAGGCUGUAUGACAGCUACUUAUAUUCAAGGAAUUAUUUCUACAUCUUGGUGCUUUUGAAGGGUUGUGGAUUAUUUACUGAAAUAAUGUGGUGCUUUUAUUCCAAAGAUACAUUUACGCCUUACAAGCUUUAAUUACGUUUCAAACCCAUACUUUGAGGUGAGAUAUUUAUAUUUUAGAUAGAAGAUUCAAGGUGUGGAGGUAAGAUAAUUUACUCCAAGCCUUAUCAUCAAUCAGUGCCAAUCUGGAUGAACACCUUACAGUCCUGACCCCCCUCUUGUAAUGCUUUUUUAACCAAGAGUACAGGCAGGUUACAGGUUCCCAAUUCCUAGGCAGAAGUGUGAAAUGCAAUUUACACAUUUUCUGUGCAAGUGCCGAAAGCCGUUUAUGUCUGAGAAACUCAGCUCAAAAAAACAAUGCAAGAAGACCUGUGCAUCUCUUUCAUGAAGGUUUGACUUUUCACAAAAUGUUCCCAGUGAAACACAAAGAGUCUGAAAUGACAAAAUCAUUAUUCACCUUUCAACUUCCACCACUGCUAUGUUUUCUACUCUGCUCUCAGAUAACUAAAACCCAGGAAACACUUUCAUUGGAGUAGAGUCAAAGUGUGUACUGAGUAUUUGCCCCUAAUCUGCUUCAUGAAUGGAGAAAUUAUUUCUGGAUCUUAUGCUGCUCUGGUGGAAUUUCACAACCUGAGUAGACUCAACCAGCUGAGUCUCCACUGGCUAACUCUGGAGUGAAGCAAUGCAUCCAAUGUCAAAAAUCAAUACUACGCCUCUGAAAUUCUCCAAGGGGGAAAAAAUAUCUUCCUUUUGUAGUGAACUUUCAUGCUAUAGUUUAACAGACAAUAAGGUGAAUGACAUGUAGGAGAACACACCAUAAUCUGAAUCCAUCAAGGCACUAUGUUCACAUAGUGUUAAAAGGAUCCAACAGAAGCCCUUCAAAAAUCCAGUGUUGUUUUGUAGCCUGUACUCAGGGUUUGUAGAUGGAAAGUAAGUAGAGGGCUACAUGAUCACUCCACAGCCAGUGCAGGACUAUUUUAAUCCAGAGAAUGCUCUUGGGUGCACAUUAGCUGAAUAGAUUAAUCCAACUAUGGACUUCUUUCAUCACAUGUCUCAACAGACUGGAUCCCUGAUCUCUUACUUGCAGGGGUGUGCAGGUGAAGCAAGCCCUGUUCUGGCUGAGAUAGCCACCUCAUCCAAGAUCCUCACAACGGUGUCAGAAAAACUGUGUCAGACUAGGUCCUUCCCUGAAGAUUUGAUUGUCAAACAAACAAUGUAGCAAUUUGGUAAAACUGAAAUGCAAAAGAAGGAGGAAGUAAUGGAUAGUUACCAGACACACUGACACCCCAAAAGCUCACUAGAAAAGGAAACUAACUUGGUUAAAUGUUGGCAUGUGCAAGUUAAAUGAAGCAUAAGCAAGGACUGAGACUUGUUGUCAAUCAAGAAAAUGAACUGGUAAAAAACAUGUUCUUUGUGUGCUCUAGGAAACAAACAUACACUUCAUUAAACUGUCUAGCUCAAGGUAGCCGAUACUUAGCAAGGAAGAAUGAAUAGUAUUUACUGAGAAAUGAAUUUUAAAGAAGUGGAAUGUGUGAGUGUAUCCUGCAGGAAUAGACUGGUUCUUUGCCUCUUCUAUCAUCAUACAGCACAUGCACUGAUCUCCAGGCUCACUCCCCUGACCCAACUUUUCUGUAGCACAGAAGAAAUCAUUAUAGACAAGAGGUACUGAGUUUUGGUUAAUAUCUGUCAGCUCCAGCUCUUUUCUGCCAAGCUUUCUUUCAGUACAGUGUUUAGCAAAAUUCUUUAGAUCAGGCUACAAGAACUGGAAGUAGGAAAUUGUGGAUGAUCUAUAGUGGAUGGGACAUCAGAAGUUGCCAAAAGCGAAUGUUUUCUGCCAAAUGUGUAACUUUAUUCAGCUGUCAUAUCCCAGGCACAAAUUUGAUGACAUAUGCCCAACUUGUAUUUUACAGCUCAAGGACAAUUUUAUACCUUCAAAAUUCCAUACUCUGUAGUCCUUACAAACUGUGAAUCUAGGAUGUAUCCAACAAGCCAUUUGUUCUAAACAAAAAUUGAGGUGGGGAAGACAAACAUAUCCUGAUAAUCCUAUCACACUUGUACUUUUUCGAAAAAUAUUAUGAGGAGUACGGAGGAAGAAGUAGAAACUACUUCAUAAAAGUAAGCUUUCUUUCCAAAUUUAUUUCAUCCCUUUAUAAUGGCUUAAUAUUAAACACCAAAGUAAAACAAACCAAACAAAAUCCCAACCAAAAUCCAGCAACAGAAAGUUUGAGCAUUAUGAAAAUGUCUUCUCCUACUUUUUGCUUUAAUACAAAAUUGUCAGUAAAAAUAGUUUUAUGAAACAUUUUACUCUCAAUGAUUUAUAAUUUUCUGAUACUCAAAGUUAGGCUGGAAGCUGUCUCAGUUAUACUAAGUGACUUGUCCAUAAGCAGUACAAAUAGAACAUUACAUCUAUAGAGUUUCAUGUACAAUAAAAAUGUCCCAAGAAAACAGCAUGUUCUAUUUUAUCCUAUUUGGAGAAUUUCUGACUGUCAUUACGGCAAUUUUUGUUUUGGUCUUCAUUCCUGUAUAUGUAUCUUGCUCAUAUACAAUCCACUUGCAUUAGUUUAAAAAGAAAAUUUCAUUGGGGUACAGUGUUAGAAGUAUAGAGGUAAAGCAGAUCUCUUUAGAGAAUUACUUCUCCUCCUACCAAACUUACAGUAUAUGUAUCUAGUCUGGGUUUUAUAUGUUUUGAGAUGAAAAUUAAUAAAGACUUCCAAAUCAGAGAGACACUGGUUUCAACCCUGGAAAACCUAUUUUUUAAGAAGCACUCAGCAAAACUCCAUGCUCUUCUCUCCCUAGAUAACUCUACCACAGCACUUCAGUCUCCUGCAAGGAACCACUAACAAAACCAGUGUUGCUAAGUUUUCUGAAGGCCACCACUUUCUAGCCAACCCAACCAACUGAGUAGUGAUGAGAGUACUGAAACCAGAAGAUGGAUAUCAGAGCUGGAAAGACUCUCAUUUUCCUGAUUUCUACCCAAACCCUUUCUCUGAGCACUGUUUAAUAGCUGUUUGCAGUAUUAAACUUUAGGUUGAGCAAUGUACUUGCAUUUGUGUGCAAUUCACAAAUUAUAUAGCAACGGGUAAAGGACUAUGCAUCAACUUGAAGUUAGGUGUAUCACACUGAGCACAAGUGAGAAGCUUCUUGAAUUAAAUCAGUAUUUCCACGACAAUCCCUCUGACCACACCACUGUUCACUAGCAGUAGCUGCCAUACACUAACACUGUCCCUUCUGUACUCAUCCCUCCAGAAAAUCAAGUGGUCAGAAGUUCAAAAUGACCUCACCAAUUAAGAAGGUGUUGCUACUUACACGCUUCCAGUGACCUGAAUCUCAGGAAUUCAAACACACUGCAAAAGUACCAAAACCUAUCUCCUGUUUUAAUCAUGGCAAAACACCAUGUUUUGGCAAGACUCAAUGACGUGCCCAGGACGUCACACUCUUAGGAGCAGGGAAUACUGUGCUGGAAUAUGACAGCUAGCAAUAUUCACUUUCAAGACAUUGCUGUAUUUCACUGUGGAUUCCUGUAAUACCUUCACUGCAAGCUCUGAGGGACAGGAUGGUUCCUGCAGUAUUUGCACAGCCCAGUACAGUGGGGGUCCAGGCCUCUUCAGUGCUCUGUAUUCAGAUUUCAUUACAAAGGAUCUGCGAAAGCAGGUGCAACAUCACAAUUUGGAAGCAACAGAGAGGGAUGAGCUGACAGCGGAGGAGUGGGAAAGCACAAGGAAUACCUGAGCAAGUACAGAAGAUGACACUUGGUCAUUUCUAUUUGUCAAGAAAGAUUUCAGCAAAGUUUGAGAAAGUGUUGGAAGACAAACUGCUGCAAUUAAGAAGAAAAAAAAAAAAGAAACCAGCAUUUCAUUGAAGCACCAACUUAUUUGCAUUCCUGUCCACUGUCACUUUAAUACAAGCAAAAAUGAUCAGCUGGCUGCUGUUAUUCUUAAAUUGGUUUCUGAAUCCAUCAUGAAAAGUCAGCUGACAGAUGGUAAGUUAUAGAGACAGAACAAAAUAUGAUCCUUUUAUAACUAUAUUCACUUGCUUCACACACAACAGGCUCGGCUGCUAUGGAAAUGCAGGUAUCUAUGACAACAGUAAACAACCCCACAACGGCCACUGAAUAAGCUGAAAAGAACAUCUGCCCCAGCAAAGCGUCCCAGCUGCCCUGGGGCGCAACUUGCUAAUCGCGCAGUGAUGCCGUGUGACAGAGAAAGCCGCCUAUGCCAUGUCCAAAUAAAUGAAGUGUGCAAUUGAAGCAGACAUAAAAACGCACACCCUAGCUGACUGCUGCCUCUGUGCUGCUAAACUGAAUGACUAAUGAGUAUGCAUUUGUUGUUUGGGGUUGGGGGUUUUUUCAGCUUGUCGGUAUUUAUACUAAAUUACAUACAAAAAAAAUUAAUUUACUACUAAUAGCUUCAUGGCACUUUAUUUUGGCUGUUAUGACAGAAAAUUACCAACGUUAAAAAUAUUUGUAUUUUUGAUCUUUAUAUAUUUCAAAUCUAUUCCCAGUAAUGUGAUGUGGUAUAAAGCCCUGUAAUAUAUUAACAAUACAAAUGAUGUAGACAGGAUUUCAAAAUCUGCUUAAGCCAAACAGAAAUUCACUUGACUGCAGAAUUUUAAAAAGGGACUUUUUAUUAGUCUAAGUAUGUACUACUUUUCUGCGAAUAGCUGCAAGCACUCUUCUAUAGGCUACUACUCUAUUAUUUAAGUGCUAAAACAGUAAACAGAGAAACAGUGUAUUUGGUGUCAAACUGAAGCUGAAGCAGCAGCAGCAGACUUAGUAUAAAAGGUGCCUGGGUCUUCUGGACAGGCCAACAUUUUCCAAAGAAAAAGCAGCAUUACCAACUUAUGUUCAUCUUCAAGUCUGAAGAUACCUCAAAAGCAGAAUUCCUACUGCAAUUAUGUAUGCUGAAAAUGCCAUUUCCCAACAGCAUCAUUCCCAAAUAUAUGCCAUGUUUGCAAGACUGGAUCCACACACCACCACAACACCAAGUUGCAAGUGCGUGCUUUCAAACUGAAGAGGAAUAAUCCAUCUACUGUUAAAGAGCAGGACAAAAGAGCAAAGAAGCCUGAGAAAGACAAACCAAAUUCACCAGAAUUCUUCUGUCUUUUUCAUACCAUAAAAUGAAGAGAUUGUUAGAAGUUGAAUUUAGCAUAUCAUAAUUCAUACAGCCAACUUCAAUAUUUAUUUAUUGGCUGUUCCUAAAUUUUGUUUUGCUUUAGUUCAGUGGAUGACACUGUAGUAUAAAGCGAAUUUUGCUGCUGAAAGAAUAAAAGGACACUACCAGGAAAAGCACAUUUCCUGAUGACUUUGGGUUUUGUUUGUGUAAUAAACUCUGUGAUUUGAGAUAAAAUUGAUGCAACCAGUUUCUGUUAAAAGGUGCAUUCUUAGACCUUGGACCACUAACGAUACCACAGUGUUUCUGCAAUGAUGUAAGACAUGGACACGAGCUGCUCACAACACAGGGCUGCGUCUGCAGCAGCUGUCUCCCAAAGCAUAGCCAUGUGUCAAGCCCAUCCACACCUGCCAUGUUUCUGUUUCUGCUGGUAUGUUAUUGAGGAAACUAGACAACUAUUCCAUAAUGCCUUGGCAGAGGUAAGAGAGCUCAGAGGCAUGCAUGAAUGGGGGUGUCAGUAGCAUCCAGGAGAAUGUGCUUUUGGUUUUCCUACUGCAAGGUGGAAAGAAAAAGGAGGGACUGGUGCACAAGUGAGACAAGGGCUGAGGGCCAGCUGUCUGAGCCCACACAAAGAGGCAGACUGAAAAGCUGGCACAUUCUUUUGCAUCAUUUUCGUCCACAAUCUGGAGGUGUUCUCAUGAGCAGUGUGCCAAGAAGUAGCCAUGAGGAGCAGCACCAAAGACAUGGGACUGAAAGGCACCUUUGCUGGGACUGGCACCUCUGGCUUUGGCUGCCAGUCUCCACCAUGCCCCCACACUGAUGGCCCUUUCCCCAAUGCCAUCCUUCUGCAGUCUCUUCCACGUGGAUGCUUCCAUUUGUAGCUGUAAGGCCUGACCUUGCUUACUGCUGCAUCCCCACCAGCUGGUAACUGGAUCCUGUCCCUUCUACCUGGCCUGUGUUUGUGACGCUGUGGAUCUCAGAACUGAGAUCUCUGCCCUACCUGAAGUCUGAGAUCAACACAAAGGCUCCUGAAGCUAUUAACAGUGGGUGGUUAGUGAAACAUGAUUGCAGGAACAUCUUUCCCUAGGAAACCAGGUUAAAAAUAACUACAUACAAUGUUUUGGAAUAUAAAAAAUUAAGUAUUUAAAUGAAUGCAUUCUGGCUUCUUUUUUUGCUAAUUCAAGUAAAUGGUGAACUGCCUGCAUACAUGAACUGUUAAUUUUUUGUCAGUGGAAAGCAGAUGUCCAGCCUUCCCUGUGAAAGGGGGAAGUAAGGAACAAUGAAGAAAAGGAAGGAUUGGGGGUGUUGUACAAAGAAGUAUGUCAAAGUCUCAGACAGGCAACACUGGAGACUGGUAAGAAGAUAAUGACAAAAACUGCCAGCAGCCACAUUUCUUCCUAACAAACAACUGCAGUCUAGCUAUACAUUUGGUACUUCACACUACAGUCUGAAGUUUCAGGUCCCUCACACACCAAGGGUCCAUCACAAGGUACCAGAAAGGACCUGGAAGAAGCCUUAAGCACUUACAAAAUCUUAUAAGGAAUGAAAGGCAUCAAGGAGCUGGAUUUCUACUGCAGCUGCAGUACCUCCCCUUGCAGUGGUUUGGCCAGCAAUGCUCUUAAAACACAAAACGUCUUUUCAUGAAGAUGACACCAAUGGUGGCACAAACCUCAUGGCAGUUCUGUUUGCUGCAUUUUAGAUUCAUGGCCCUUGCCAACAGAGUCUUCAACAGUGAACACCAAAUCUGUAAACAGCACCUAGUUCUUUCAGUGAAAAAAUAACCUACAAUAUCACUCUGGAAUUAUAUCUUCUACACAUUGUCAAGAGGUACUUUGAGCCCAACUUUGCUUUGCAUGUUACCUGUAUAGAUCAGAAUCUGUCAUGCACAGACAUGUGAAGUGGCGAAAUGGUAGGCAUGAAAUAUUUAGCAUGAGAUUACAUACAAGCAAUGCAGAGGAUAGCCCUCAGGUAGCAGACUAUUCUAGAAUUCACAAAAAAGAAUUAAAAUCAGUCAUGUACCUGAGAAAGCCAUAUGUGGCAGCUGUUCGCUUUUAUGUUGUGAUCUCUGACCAGAGUACAUUUUAUAUACAGACAAAGUGAUUUAUAGUAAUUUGUAGUAUUUUGAUACUAUUUUAAACUUUGAUCUCAUUUCAUCAAACCCUUCAAAUCCAUCCCCUUCCAAUUAAAUAAAAAUUAGGGUAACAUAGUGCCUUCUUGGUUGUGCAAAAGGAAAUUAUCUUUACAGCCAUACCAUAAGGUUUUAAAGAAAAUAGCAGCUAAAGCAGUUCAAAGCAACCAUGGCCUGAAUUUUCCAGCACAGAUGCCUAGAGAGAGGCACUUAAGAUGCAUAUUUAGGUAUUAAGAAAAUGUUACAGCCAACUGACGUAAAAAAUGUAGUUAGUAAAUAAACUGCACCAUCUGUACACUACAACCAUUGCUGUGUUAUCUCAUCAGGAAGGAAUUUAUAAGAUCUUCUUUUAAUUUAAAGUUACUACAUCUAAAAUAGAACUAUUUUUGUGAAGUACUUCAUUUUACCAUUCAGUAUGCUAGUUUUUGGCCCAUUUUACUUCUGCUUCAGCACCCUCCACUGCUUUUUCCCAUUUAUAUGUUCCUAGUGUAGAUGGAAUGCCUAAAACCUAGUGCCAUUGUACUCAAAAGGCAGAAGUUCAGAUUAUUCCUUGUCUACAAAUCAGUCUUUUAACCCCCUUCCUGCCUCACUUUCUAGCACAACCCAUUCCUACACUUUGUUAUUUGAUUCUUUGAUAUUUUCAAUUUUCAUCAGUAGUAAAAUGGUGCAAAAGCAACACUGUCUUCCAUCUUUACCUUCAGGCUUGUUAAACUGCAACGGGGCAAAGAGCAGCUUGCCCCUGUUUAACUUCUACAUUAACAGACAUGCCUCUUCCCCUCCCACAUCAUGAUGGUUAACCUUGGUAUAAAUCAGGUCAAAACCACAGAGAUUAAUGAGCAGAGUGGAGGCUUUUUUCCCCCAUUUGCUUUUUUUUUUCUUUUUCUUUUUAAUUUAUUUUGCCUAAUAAAUUAAAAUGUUCAAUGUGCAAAGCAGAAAGAAAUACCUGAAGAGAAUUGUAAGUACUGUAACUCUGUCAAACUCCUUCGUGUGGGAUGCCACUGAGUCCACUUCUGAAAUAUUUAAAUAAGGUUGAGAAGUUCUCUUAAAAUAAACGGAAUACUUGUGGAAACGUACAGCAAACCAGUAGGAUUCAGAACCAAGAUCUUGAGAAGAAACAAGAAAUUAUAUUCAUAUCUCAACAACAGUGCACGAAGGACCAAGCAUGAGACUUCUAGAAGUUAUACAAUAGAGGCCAGGAGAAGGCAAUUUCAUUAGUAAUACCAAGUCACAGUGGAGCAUCUCACACUCCUUUAAACAGAUCUAGUAGGAGACACAGAAGAAGAAAGGCACAGGUCUAAAUGAACUAAUAAUUUUUCCUAUUUAAGUUCAUUUCUGGCACUGCCAAGUAAGCUAUGGCACAAGUAUCAUAAGAGGUCUAAUUUUAAAAAAUACAGAACACUUCUCCCAGAAACCUUCUUCCUGCACCUCUAUUUUGUUACAUUUGUAUUGUCAUGAAGCAACACAUACUAUUUCCAUUCCCUAACAAUACCAUUUUAUCAGAUGAAAAACUGUAAACCAAAAAUACAGUUACAAUGUAUUCUUGUUAAAAAUACUAGCUUUAAUAAAAAGAAUGAUAGUAGAAAGCGUUAUAGUAGGUCUUAUACAUGCACUAACUCAAAGAGGUUCAUCUAUCAUUCAGAAAGCUGUGGGAAACCAAAGCAUCUUAACUUUUCAUCUCGGGAGUAAAGAUUGAGAUAAUUUAACUGUUAAAAGACAGACUCACAAUACUGAUAGUCAUUUUACCAGUGCAAAAUAAAAAUAUUUUAAGAGACACAUGACUUAAGAGAUGAGAAAUACAUCUUACACAUAAAGACGAUGCAUUAUAGCAUAUAUAGCUUAAAAGCAGGUUGGA
Long non-coding RNA from Passer domesticus (house sparrow), 10109 nucleotides. RefSeq lists it as uncharacterized. The transcript is spliced from 3 exons. The record is from RefSeq and is a predicted model, not a curated record. Lineage: Eukaryota; Metazoa; Chordata; Aves; Passeriformes; Passeridae.